GCGGUUGGAGUGUGCACCGACACGUCACCAAGUGCUUCGACGAGACACGACAGCGGGUUAUCUACCAGCUGCUGUCGGGCACGGAGAGCAUCAUCGACAGCUUGUGCAAUAAGGGCUCUUUUCGGGAUAGGUACCAGAUCCACGCCCCCUGCAUGAAGAACCUGAGCACCGACACCAACGUCUGCGGCGACCAGUACAAGCGGCUCAUCCUGUCCGUGAACCCGCCGGAGAAGCUCGACUACGAGGACUCCAUCCGCCAGCAGUGUUGCGCCUUCCACAACUACCUGCUGUGCGUGACGUCAGCAGCGGAACGGGAAUGUGGAAACGAGGCGCAACUUCAUCGAGGAGUACUC
Molecule: non-coding RNA, 353 nt
Organism: Penaeus vannamei (Pacific white shrimp)
Lineage: Eukaryota; Metazoa; Arthropoda; Malacostraca; Decapoda; Penaeidae
Source: RefSeq, a predicted model, not a curated record